RNAcentral lists this long non-coding RNA (274 nucleotides) under Dasypus novemcinctus (nine-banded armadillo). Its description in RNAcentral is "lncRNA (ENSDNOG00000051028.1)". The record is from RNAcentral. Lineage: Eukaryota; Metazoa; Chordata; Mammalia; Cingulata; Dasypodidae.
GCCAGGGUUUUAUGCUCUCUUUCCGUGUCUCCUUCCUGCAGCCGGCAUCUCCACCACCACUCCCGGGGAAGCGGGAACCAAUUUAAGAAGCGUGGGGAAAUGAUCCAGAGAGCCAGCAUGAGGCGUGAGCUUUCGCAGGCUGCAGCCACACACGUGAAGAGAAGAACCUGACGGGAAUGUCCAACUGGACUGAAGUCCUUCCACUAAGAGCCGCGUUGGUAUAAACACGGUAUGAAGACGCCAGACCGCAGCAGAAAUGGAGCCUGAUAAAGGU